AAGAAAAUGCUGUUCGGCGAGAAUUGUGGCUACAGCGUAUUGGGCGGACUGACUUGAACUCUGCGUCGUCGCGGCUUUGUGAGGACCACUUCUCUGCAAACCAAUUUGAGCCGAUACUGCUGAGGAAGUUUGGUACUAAGAAGUUGAAGAGAGACGCGACGCCUACGAUCUUUAGUCAACAGCAUUUGCGAACGUCAGAGUGCAAUGACACACCCUUCCCAUCUUCUGGCUUUGAGUUGUUACUAGCAGCAGCUGCUGCCGCUGAUG
Dermacentor silvarum is the source of this 267-nucleotide long non-coding RNA. RefSeq lists it as uncharacterized. The record is from RefSeq and is a predicted model, not a curated record. The transcript has 3 exons. NCBI's taxonomy places the organism in Eukaryota, Metazoa, Arthropoda, Arachnida, Ixodida, Ixodidae.